UGGGGUGUGGCUUAGCGGUAGAGCACUCACCUAGCAUGUGCGAGGUCCUGGGUUUGAUCCUCAGCACCAUAU
This 72-nucleotide transfer RNA is filed under the name Marmota monax (woodchuck). It matches the Rfam family "tRNA". From Rfam's summary of the family: Transfer RNA (tRNA) molecules are approximately 80 nucleotides in length. Their secondary structure includes four short double-helical elements and three loops (D, anti-codon, and T loops). The record is from Rfam by way of RNAcentral. Lineage: Eukaryota; Metazoa; Chordata; Mammalia; Rodentia; Sciuridae.